AGGCUGCAGUGAAUUCUACAAAGAGGCUAUGGGAAAGAAACCUGGAAAGUACCCUUGGCUGUGUACAUUUGAGUAAAGAGAGCACUAUAAAAUCAAAAACCAAUGAAAUGGUUUCCAGAACACAGAACUAUUAAGCUUAAGAAAAGGACAGAAGGAACUGAAGAGAGAGGAACUGUUUUGGAGCAUCACACUUCCACCUCAGAAGAAAUAAGGAAGGAAGGAGGAGGGUGUUCCCACGGCUCUUCAACCAGGCCGGCUCUUCAGCCUACAUCCCCAUCUCAUCAAGUAAAAGGGAUUUUUCAACUGGACCAACCAGAUGGUUUAACAGUGCACUCCCACACCAUUCAACUACGCAAGGGAGAUACACUUAACAUAUGCAGUCGUAUAACACCUACUAACAUUUUCAAACAUUAAACCUUUAAAAAAGAGUUCUAAAGAAAUAGAAGCUUGAAGUAUCAUCUCUCAAGUAUAUAGACACUACUUCAUGGUGUGGUAAUAUAUGCAUAUAGAAGCUAGUAAACACCUCCAGGAGAUGCAAAAGGAAUUAGAACUGCCACAAGGUGCAAGCAAAACCUUGAGUCUCCAUUGAUGGUGAAGUAUUUUCACUAUUUGGCAUGUCUUCUCUAGUACCUAGAGCAGUGCGUUGCAUGCAGUAGCAGGUUUAUAAACAUUUGCGAGUAAAACAUCCAACCUGAUACUCAAGGUAAUCAAUCUGCAUCCCAUUUUGGAUGAGAAUAUUUGCAACUUUGAAGGUUAUUUUAAGGACAGCAGCAGAAGAAUUAUGGCAGCUUCUUUAAAAUAUGAAGACUUCGAAGUUAUUUAUCCAAACCAACCUGAUCAUUUCUUAAGAGUGAAUAUACCUUGGAAGACGUGUCCUGCCUUUAGUAGCGUCACAAUGGAUUACAUCCUCUAUAAAGCAGUCUGGGAUAUUCUGCCCAAUCAGAGGCUAACAUCUGCCACAAGACAAAUAUGGUGCCUGCCCCCAUGGAGCUCAUAUUCGAAUGGAGAAAAUGUCAACAAGUAUCCCACGGAGUGAACACUUCAAAAGGAGAAGCACAGGUGAGAAAAUCGAAUUUGGACACCGUUGAGGAGACUAUUGCAGUCAUCCAAGCUCAAGAUGGUGGAGCUUCAUCCUUGAGAAUAACCAAUGGGGAUAGAUUUAAGAGACACUUAGAGUCUGCAGCCAACAGGGCUGAAUGAGCAGAGAGUUAUGAUUCAGAAGAUCAUCUAAAAUUGAACAGCUGCCACUACUGGCAAUAAGUCUACUGCCAUUUGGUAGAUAACCUUCUUAUCACACAGAAAAAUAUCAGUACAGACAAAUAGACCGCAAAGAAAAUGAGACCAUCAGCAAAGAAGAUAAAGAAGUUUGUACAAAGCAACUUUUUAUAAAUGGAUGGCUGUCAGGCAAAAAUAAAUUUCCUGUGGACAAGACCAAGAGCAAGGCAAGAGGAAAAUAAACAUGUUUAAACUAUUG
RNAcentral lists this long non-coding RNA (1474 nucleotides) under Homo sapiens (human). RNAcentral's name for it is "long intergenic non-protein coding RNA 343". The record is from RNAcentral. Lineage: Eukaryota; Metazoa; Chordata; Mammalia; Primates; Hominidae.